CAGGGUCUCUUCUACAAUGAGGAGUUCCAGUUUUUCUUUAAGUGUAAAUGUUGGAUUUAUUGCCUGUCAGCAGUACAAUCAAUAAGUGCAGUCCAUUAAUAAUCAAUGUAGGGAGAAGAGAGGUAGUUUGAGCAGGAGCCAAUUAAUCUAAGAUGAAAUUGCAACAACAGUCCACUUGGAUGAUUGAAUCAUAUUAUUUUGCAUGUGAAGUCAA
Camellia sinensis is the source of this 214-nucleotide non-coding RNA. The record is from RefSeq and is a predicted model, not a curated record. NCBI's taxonomy places the organism in Eukaryota, Viridiplantae, Streptophyta, Magnoliopsida, Ericales, Theaceae.